Molecule: small RNA, 865 nt
Filed under: Pongo abelii (Sumatran orangutan)
Lineage: Eukaryota; Metazoa; Chordata; Mammalia; Primates; Hominidae
Description: retained intron
Source: RNAcentral
AUUUUUACUGUGUCAUUUUGUUUGUUUGAGAUUCAAAGUAGACCAGGGAUAUAUCAAGCAUCCUCUCCUAGUGACUCACUCUCAGAGAAUUCUGUAAUUUUCUCUCAGCUAGUUGAACUUGAAGGACCAAAACAGUUCGGUCAUCAGAAUGCCUCUAUUUCUAUUGGUGAAGCUAAUUCUUGUGCCUUGGACGGUACCCCCAUCUUCCUCCCUCCUCACCUGGCCAAAGACAAGUUGGGAUCAGUGGGCCUGAGGUGGCUGUUGUGGUAGUAUAUAGCCACCCUUCACCUAGUAACCCUGCUUUCUUGCUUUAGCGGUUUGCUGUGUUUCAAAGAAGGGUGCUGACCACAGUAGUGCUCCCCCAGCAGAUGGAGACGAUGAAGAAAUGAUGGCCACAGAGGUCACCCCCUCAGCUAUGGCAGAGCUUACAGACCUGGGCAAAUGUCUGAUGAAGCAUGAGGAUGUUUGUACAGCACUAUUAAUUACAGCCUUCAAUUCCCUGGCCUGGAAAGAUACUCUGUCCUGCCAGAGGACGACCUCACAGCUCUGCUGGCCUCUCCUCAAACAAGUGCUGUCAGGGACACUGCUUGCAGAUGCAGUUACAUGGCUUUUCACCAGUGUGCUGAAAGGCUUACAGAUGCACGGGCAGCACGACGGGUGCAUGGCUUCCCUGGUCCAUCUGGCCUUCCAGAUAUACGAGGCACUGCGCCCCAGGUACCUGGAGAUAAGAGCUGUAAUGGAGCAAAUCCCUGAAAUACAGAAGGACUCACUGGACCAGUUUGACUGCAAGCUUUUAAACCCCUCCCUGCAGAAAGUGGCUGACAAGCGCCGAAAGGACCAAUUCAAACGCCUCAUUGCUGGUUGC